Ictalurus punctatus (channel catfish) is the source of this 937-nucleotide long non-coding RNA. The record is from Ensembl. NCBI's taxonomy places the organism in Eukaryota, Metazoa, Chordata, Actinopteri, Siluriformes, Ictaluridae.
CUGAGUGUUUACACAUGGCGAAUAAUAAAUAAACAACAGAUAUAUGUAACUGUAUUAUACAUCUUUUUUAAAUUGUUUUGAGAUGAAAAUGAUUAGAAAUAAGUCACUGAUUAAUGGAUAUUUGUAAAUGUAUUCUUUUCUUUCCUGCGUGUGCUGAUGAUUUCUGAUGAAAUUGUCUUUAAUGAAUUCUUUAUCACAGCGCUCACCUUUAACUAAUUGUUUAAUUGAUUAUGACACUGUUAAUGUGACGAUAAUGAAGAAUAAUUAGUUCACAAAACUCAUUGUUUUAAACCCAGAGGAAGACACGCGGAGCGCUCACACUCGGACAAUAAGUUCAUUAAUGCAUUCGUCAUUUUUAAAAUCUUUAAAUAUUUGCAAAAACAUAUAUAAUGUGUGAUAUUAUCAUAUUUCUAUUCGUUUUGCUUGGCGGAAGUUCAAUAGAAAUAAACAACACUAUCAUGAUGCGGAAGGAAUUGUAAAUGAAUUCUUAUAAAUGAACAUUAUACAUUCUUUUAAAUCGGUUUUUUGCUGGAGUUUUUUGUUUGAAAAUAUUUAUUUAUUUUUAUUUAUUUUAAACAGCACACACUUUCACUAAUCAGUUCAUUACCUGGACAGCGUCGAUGUGAAGAUCGUUAGCCGUUAACCGCGUUACUGGUGUUUGUGAUGGUAACGGCGGUGUUUGAGGUGUGCGUUGUGUUAGUGGUGUUAUGGUGGUGUUCGGUGGUAAUGGUGGUGUCUGCUGGUUAUGGUGGUGUUUGGUGGUAAUGGUGGUGUUUGGUGGUAAUGGUGGUAAUGGUGCUGUGGUGUUGUUGAUGUGGUGUUUGGUGGUAAUGGUGGUGUUUGGUGGUAAUGGUGGUAAUGGUGGUGUUUGGUGGUAAUGGUGGUAAUAGUGAUGUGGUGUUUGGCAGUAAUGGUGGUGUUUGGUGGUAAUGGUAGU